UACGGAGGGUGCAAGCGUUGUUAGGAAUAAUUGGGCGUAAAGCGCGUGUAGGCGGCUUGGUAAGUCGGGUGUGAAAGCCCGGGGCUUAACCCCGGAACUGCAUUCGAAACUGACUCGCUAGAGUACCGGAGGGGAAGGCGGAAUUUCCGGUGUAGAGGUGAAAUUCGUAGAUAUCGGGAGGAACACCCGUAGCGAAGGCGGCCUUCUGGACGGUUACUGACGCUGAGACGCGAAAGCGUGGGGAGCAAACAGG
This 253-nucleotide ribosomal RNA is filed under the name uncultured bacterium. RNAcentral describes it as "partial 16S ribosomal RNA". It matches the Rfam family "Bacterial small subunit ribosomal RNA", at positions 524 to 776 of the family's 1533-position model. The record is from RNAcentral.